GACGAACGCUGGCGGCGUGCUUAACACAUGCAAGUCGAGCGAACAGACGAGGAUCUUACUCCUCUCACGUUAGCGGCGGACGGGUGAGUAACGCGUGGAUAACCUACCUAUAUGACUGGGAUAACUUCGAGACACCGGAGCUAAUACCGGAUAACCUGCUGAACCGCAUGGUGCUAGAGAGAUUGACGGUCUUGGUGUCAAUUCUCGAUGGAUCCGCGUCGUAUUAGCUAGUUGGUAGGGUAACGGCUUACCACGGAAACGAUGCGUGGACGAGCGGAGAGGGUGAUCGGCCACACUGGAGCUGAGACGCGGUCCAGGCUCCUACGGGAGGCAGCAGUAGGGAAUGGUACGCACUGGGCGGAAGCCUGCCGGAGCAGCGCCGCGUGAGUGAAGAAGGUCUUCGGGUCGUAAAACUCUGUUAUUGGGGAAGAACAAAUGUGUAAGUAACUACGCACGUCGUGACGGUACCUGGUCAGGAAGCCACGGCUAACUACGUG
RNAcentral lists this ribosomal RNA (497 nucleotides) under uncultured bacterium. RNAcentral's name for it is "partial 16S ribosomal RNA". It matches the Rfam family "Bacterial small subunit ribosomal RNA", at positions 28 to 507 of the family's 1533-position model. The record is from RNAcentral.